This 484-nucleotide ribosomal RNA is filed under the name Staphylococcus aureus. Its description in RNAcentral is "bacterial SSU rRNA". It matches the Rfam family "Bacterial small subunit ribosomal RNA", at positions 1 to 467 of the family's 1533-position model. Lineage: Bacteria; Bacillati; Bacillota; Bacilli; Caryophanales; Staphylococcaceae. The record is from RNAcentral.
UUUAUGGAGAGUUUGAUCCUGGCUCAGGAUGAACGCUGGCGGCGUGCCUAAUACAUGCAAGUCGAGCGAACGGACGAGAAGCUUGCUUCUCUGAUGUUAGCGGCGGACGGGUGAGUAACACGUGGAUAACCUACCUAUAAGACUGGGAUAACUUCGGGAAACCGGAGCUAAUACCGGAUAAUAUUUUGAACCGCAUGGUUCAAAAGUAAAAGACGGUCUUGCUGUCACUUAUAGAUGGAUCCGCGCUGCAUUAGCUAGUUGGUAAGGUAACGGCUUACCAAGGCAACGAUGCAUAGCCGACCUGAGAGGGUGAUCGGCCACACUGGAACUGAGACACGGUCCAGACUCCUACGGGAGGCAGCAGUAGGGAAUCUUCCGCAAUGGGCGAAAGCCUGACGGAGCAACGCCGCGUGAGUGAUGAAGGUCUUCGGAUCGUAAAACUCUGUUAUUAGGGAAGAACAUAUGUGUAAGUAACUGUGCACAU